UUGAAUUGAAGAGUUUGAUCAUGGCUCAGAUUGAACGCUGGCGGCAGGCUUAACACAUGCAAGUCGAACGGUAACAUAAAGAAGCUUGCUUCUUUGAUGACGAGUGGCGGACGGGUGAGUAAUGCUUGGGAAUCUAGCUUAUGGAGGGGGAUAACUACGGGAAACUGUAGCUAAUACCGCGUAAUAUCGAAAGAUUAAAGUGUGGGACCUUCGGGCCACAUGCCAUAGGAUGAGCCCAAGUGGGAUUAGGUAGUUGGUGAGGUAAAGGCUCACCA
Molecule: ribosomal RNA, 275 nt
Filed under: Parahaemophilus parainfluenzae
Lineage: Bacteria; Pseudomonadati; Pseudomonadota; Gammaproteobacteria; Pasteurellales; Pasteurellaceae
Description: Haemophilus parainfluenzae (human oral metagenome) partial 16S ribosomal RNA
Rfam family: Bacterial small subunit ribosomal RNA
Source: RNAcentral